CUACAAACCCGUGCUGCCGCUGCUUCUCAGGAAGUGGAGGAAAGUCCGGACAGCACAGAGCGACGCACCAUCUAACGGAUGGGGUUUUUCGAAAGAAGAAUACAGACAGCGCCACAGAAAAUGACCGCCAUAACACUCGUGCUGUGGUAAGGGUGAAAAUGUGUGGUAAGAGCACACGAUAGCUACAGGUAACUGUACUUAUGGGCAAGCCUUGCGUGAUGAAAUGCCCAAUAGGCAGGCGUUUGAGGGCUGCUCGUCCGAUGCCUGCGGGUAGGCAGAUAGAGUGUUGCCGCAAGGUAACACCCAGAUAAAUGGCAGCAGCGCAGCAGCAAUGCUGCGUACAAAAUCCGGCUUAUAGGGUUUGUAACAGG
Molecule: RNase P RNA, 371 nt
Filed under: Sphingobacteriales bacterium
Lineage: Bacteria; Pseudomonadati; Bacteroidota; Sphingobacteriia; Sphingobacteriales
Description: RNase P RNA component class A
Rfam family: Bacterial RNase P class A
About the family: Ribonuclease P (RNase P) is a ubiquitous endoribonuclease, found in archaea, bacteria and eukarya as well as chloroplasts and mitochondria.
Source: RNAcentral